Molecule: non-coding RNA, 82 nt
Organism: Ixodes scapularis (black-legged tick)
Lineage: Eukaryota; Metazoa; Arthropoda; Arachnida; Ixodida; Ixodidae
Source: Rfam
GCAGUCGGGGCCGAGCGGUUCAGGCGAUGGGCUAGAAAUCCAUUGGGGUCUCUGCGCACAGGCUCGAAUCCUAUCGACUGCG